CGUAGGUGCGAGCGUUGUCCGGAAUUAUUGGGCGUAAAGAGCUUGUAGGCGGUCUGUUGCGGUCGGAAGUGAAAACUCAGGGCUUAACCCUGAGCCUGCUUUCGAUACGGGCAGACUUGAGGGAUGUAGGGGAGAACGGAAUUCCUGGUGGAGCGGUGGAAUGCGCAGAUAUCAGGAGGAACACCAGUGGCGAAGGCGGUUCUCUGGACAUUUCCUGACGCUGAGAAGCGAAAGCGUGGGGAGCGAAACAGGCUU
Molecule: ribosomal RNA, 255 nt
Filed under: uncultured bacterium
Lineage: Bacteria
Description: partial 16S ribosomal RNA
Rfam family: Bacterial small subunit ribosomal RNA
Source: RNAcentral